This 316-nucleotide long non-coding RNA is filed under the name Gallus gallus (chicken). Lineage: Eukaryota; Metazoa; Chordata; Aves; Galliformes; Phasianidae. The record is from RNAcentral.
GUCGUUGGCGUGCAGUUAGCAUGUUGUCAUGUCAUUCCUGUGUCGUUGGUGUGCAGUUGCCAUGUUGCCAUGUGAUUCCCGUGUCCUUGGCGUGUCGUUGCCCUGUUGCCAUGUCAUUCCCGCGUCAUUGGCGUGUCGUUGCCAUGUUUCCCUGUCAUUACCAUGUCGCUGGCAUGUGGUUGCUGUGUUGUCGUGUCAUUACCAUGUCAUUGCAUGUCAUUGGCGUGUCGUUGCGAUGUCGUCCCGUGCUUGGCGUGUCGUUGCCGUGCCAUUGCCGUGUAGCCGUGUCAUUCCCGCGUCGUUGGCGUGCCGUUGC